Molecule: ribosomal RNA, 449 nt
Filed under: uncultured bacterium
Lineage: Bacteria
Description: partial 16S ribosomal RNA
Rfam family: Bacterial small subunit ribosomal RNA
Source: RNAcentral
AACGAACGCUGGCGGCAGGCUUAACACAUGCAAGUCGAACGCAUCCUUCGGGGUGAGUGGCAGACGGGUGAGUAACGCGUGGGAACGUGCCCUUCAGUUCGGGAUAACCCAGGGAAACUUGGGCUAAUACCGGAUACGUGCGAGAGCAGAAAGAUUUAUCGCUGAAGGAUCGGCCCGCGUCUGAUUAGCUAGUUGGUGGGGUAAUGGCCCACCAAGGCGACGAUCAGUAGCUGGUCUGAGAGGAUGAUCAGCCACAUUGGGACUGAGACACGGCCCAAACUCCUACGGGAGGCAGCAGUGGGGAAUAUUGGACAAUGGGCGCAAGCCUGAUCCAGCCAUGCCGCGUGAGUGAUGAAGGCCUUAGGGUUGUAAAGCUCUUUCGCCAGGGAAGAUAGUGACGGUACCUGCAGAAAAAGCACCGGCUAACUACGUGCCAGCAGCCGCGGUAA